Molecule: ribosomal RNA, 825 nt
Filed under: uncultured Virgibacillus sp.
Lineage: Bacteria; Bacillati; Bacillota; Bacilli; Caryophanales; Bacillaceae
Description: bacterial SSU rRNA
Rfam family: Bacterial small subunit ribosomal RNA
Source: RNAcentral
GAGUUUGAUCCUGGCUCAGGACGAACGCUGGCGGCGUGCCUAAUACAUGCAAGUCGAGCGCGUGAAGCUGACUGAUCCCCUUCGGGGGAGACGUUGGUGGAUCGAGCGGCGGACGGGUGAGUAACACGUGGGCAACCUGCCUGUAAGACUGGGAUAACCCCGGGAAACCGGGGCUAAUACCGGAUAAUACUUUUCUUUGCAUGAAGAGAAGUUAAAAGAGGGCCGUAAGGCUCUCACUUACAGAUGGGCCCGCGGCGCAUUAGCUAGUUGGUGAGGUAAGAGCUUACCAAGGCGACGAUGCGUAGCCGACCUGAGAGGGUGAUCGGCCACACUGGGACUGAGACACGGCCCAGACUCCUACGGGAGGCAGCAGUAGGGAAUCUUCCGCAAUGGACGAAAGUCUGACGGAGCAACGCCGCGUGAGUGAUGAAGGUUUUCGGAUCGUAAAGCUCUGUUGUGAGGGAAGAACAAGUGCCGUUCGAACAGGGCGGCACCUUGACGGUACCUCACCAGAAAGCCCCGGCUAACUACGUGCCAGCAGCCGCGGUAAUACGUAGGGGGCAAGCGUUGUCCGGAAUUAUUGGGCGUAAAGCGCGCGCAGGCGGUCUUUUAAGUCUGAUGUGAAAGCCCACGGCUUAACCGUGGAGGGUCAUUGGAAACUGGAGGACUUGAGUACAGAAGAGGAGAGUGGAAUUCCACGUGUAGCGGUGAAAUGCGUAGAGAUGUGGAGGAACACCAGUGGCGAAGGCGACUCUCUGGUCUGUAACUGACGCUGAGGNUGCGAAAGCGUGGGGAGCGAACAGGAUUAGAUACCCUGGUAGUCCA